RNAcentral lists this ribosomal RNA (399 nucleotides) under Brucella melitensis. RNAcentral's name for it is "partial 16S ribosomal RNA". It matches the Rfam family "Bacterial small subunit ribosomal RNA", at positions 358 to 774 of the family's 1533-position model. RNAcentral also lists the same sequence under 2 other names. The record is from RNAcentral. Lineage: Bacteria; Pseudomonadati; Pseudomonadota; Alphaproteobacteria; Hyphomicrobiales; Brucellaceae.
GGAAUAUUGGACAAUGGGCGCAAGCCUGAUCCAGCCAUGCCGCGUGAGUGAUGAAGGCCCUAGGGUUGUAAAGCUCUUUCACCGGUGAAGAUAAUGACGGUAACCGGAGAAGAAGCCCCGGCUAACUUCGUGCCAGCAGCCGCGGUAAUACGAAGGGGGCUAGCGUUGUUCGGAUUUACUGGGCGUAAAGCGCACGUAGGCGGACUUUUAAGUCAGGGGUGAAAUCCCGGGGCUCAACCCCGGAACUGCCUUUGAUACUGGAAGUCUUGAGUAUGGUAGAGGUGAGUGGAAUUCCGAGUGUAGAGGUGAAAUUCGUAGAUAUUCGGAGGAACACCAGUGGCGAAGGCGGCUCACUGGACCAUUACUGACGCUGAGGUGCGAAAGCGUGGGGAGCAAACA